This is a long non-coding RNA of Etheostoma spectabile (orangethroat darter), 237 nucleotides long. RefSeq lists it as uncharacterized. NCBI's taxonomy places the organism in Eukaryota, Metazoa, Chordata, Actinopteri, Perciformes, Percidae. The transcript has 3 exons. The record is from RefSeq and is a predicted model, not a curated record.
GGACCGAGACUACUCCACUACUUCACCUGAGAUUAUAUUCCAGCUGCAGAGUGCUGUGAGAGCCCUGAACCAUACGUCCCGUUGUGGUUCCUGCCAUCCUUCUUCUGGUGGGGCUGAUGUCCACGUCGGACUCUGCAGCCGAGAUGUGCAAGACCAAGUAUCCGGCCACACCGUGUAGAAACAAGAACCUCGGUGAAGGCUGGUUCCAGAUGGUUAACAACCGCUGUGUGAAGGCGU